UUCCGGUUGAUCCUGCCGGAGGCUACCGCUAUUGGAGUUCGAUUAAGCCAUGCGAGUCUAGAGGCCUAGCCUCGGCGUACCGCUCAGUAACACGUGGGUAACCUACCCUAUGCUGGGGAAUAAGCUCGGGAAACUGAGAAUAAUGCCCCAUAGUCCACUACGCCUGGAACGGUGAGUGGAUCAAAGCUCCGGCGGCAUAGGAUGGGCCUGCGGCGUAUCAGGUUGUAGGGGGUGUAAUGUACCCUCUAGCCAUCCACGCGUACGGGUGUUGGGAGACAUUGCCCGGAGAUGGAUUCUGAGGCACGAAUCCAGACCCUACGGGGUGCAGCAGGCGCGAAAACUUGGCAAUGCGAGAAAUCGUGACCAGGGAACUCCAAGUGGCAGGGGUAAGACCCUGUCUUUUUCCGACUCUAAAUAGGUCGGCGAAUAAGGGGUGGGUAAGGACGGUGCCAGCCGCCGCGGUAAUACCGGCGCCUCAAGUGGUAGUCGCUUUUAUUGGGCCUAAAACGUCCGUAGCCGGUCUGGUACAUUCGUGGGUAAAUCAACUCGCUCAACGAGUUGAAUUCUGCGAGGACGGCCAGACUUGGGACCGGGAGAGGUGUGGGGUACUCUCAGGGUAGGGGUAAAAUCCUGUCAUCCUGAGAGGACCACCUGUUGCGAAGGCUCCACACUAGAACGGAUCCGACGGUCAGGGACGAAGCCUAGGGGCACGAACCGGAUUAGAUACCCGGGUAGUCCUAGGUGUAAACGCUGUGGACUUGAUGUUGGGGACGCUCCGAGCGUUCUCAGUGUCGAAGCGAAGGUGAUAAGUCCACUGCCUGGGGAGUACGGUCGCAAGGCUGAAACUUAAAGGAAUUGGCGGGGGAGCACCGCAACCUGAGGAUUGUGCGGUUUAAUUGGAUCAACGCCGGA
Molecule: ribosomal RNA, 912 nt
Filed under: uncultured archaeon
Lineage: Archaea
Description: bacterial SSU rRNA
Rfam family: Archaeal small subunit ribosomal RNA
Source: RNAcentral